RNAcentral lists this ribosomal RNA (468 nucleotides) under uncultured bacterium. RNAcentral's name for it is "partial 16S ribosomal RNA". It matches the Rfam family "Bacterial small subunit ribosomal RNA", at positions 28 to 507 of the family's 1533-position model. The record is from RNAcentral.
GACGAACGCUGGCGGCGUGCUUAACACAUGCAAGUCGAACGGAAAUGCCCUGCUUUUGUGGUCUGCUCGAGUUUCGAAAUGGUGAUUAACACGUGAUUAACCUGCCCUUGACUUUGUGAUAACUUCAGUAAACUGGGGCUAAUACCGGAUAGUAGCUCCUGCUUCAUGGUGUGGGUUGGCAAGUUUCGGCGGUUGGGGAUGGACUCGCGGCUUAUCAGCUUGCUGGUGGGGUGGUGGCUUACCAAGGCUUUGACGGGUAGACGGCCUGUGAGGGUGACAGGACACAUUGGGACUGAGAUACGGCACAGACUCAUACGGGAGGAAGCAGUGGGGAAGAGUGCACAAUGGGCGGAAGCCUGAUGCAGCAACGCCGCGUGCGGGAUGACGGCCUUCGGGUUGUAAACCGCUUUCGCGUGUGACGAAGAGUGAGUGACGGUAAUGGGUAAAGAAGCACCGGCUAACUACGUG